RNAcentral lists this ribosomal RNA (663 nucleotides) under Escherichia coli. Its description in RNAcentral is "partial 23S ribosomal RNA". It matches the Rfam family "Bacterial large subunit ribosomal RNA", at positions 474 to 1137 of the family's 2925-position model. RNAcentral also lists the same sequence under 1 other name. Lineage: Bacteria; Pseudomonadati; Pseudomonadota; Gammaproteobacteria; Enterobacterales; Enterobacteriaceae. The record is from RNAcentral.
UCCUGACUGACCGAUAGUGAACCAGUACCGUGAGGGAAAGGCGAAAAGAACCCCGGCGAGGGGAGUGAAAAAGAACCUGAAACCGUGUACGUACAAGCAGUGGGAGCACGCUUAGGCGUGUGACUGCGUACCUUUUGUAUAAUGGGUCAGCGACUUAUAUUCUGUAGCAAGGUUAACCGAAUAGGGGAGCCGAAGGGAAACCGAGUCUUAACUGGGCGUUAAGUUGCAGGGUAUAGACCCGAAACCCGGUGAUCUAGCCAUGGGCAGGUUGAAGGUUGGGUAACACUAACUGGAGGACCGAACCGACUAAUGUUGAAAAAUUAGCGGAUGACUUGUGGCUGGGGGUGAAAGGCCAAUCAAACCGGGAGAUAGCUGGUUCUCCCCGAAAGCUAUUUAGGUAGCGCCUCGUGAAUUCAUCUCCGGGGGUAGAGCACUGUUUCGGCAAGGGGGUCAUCCCGACUUACCAACCCGAUGCAAACUGCGAAUACCGGAGAAUGUUAUCACGGGAGACACACGGCGGGUGCUAACGUCCGUCGUGAAGAGGGAAACAACCCAGACCGCCAGCUAAGGUCCCAAAGUCAUGGUUAAGUGGGAAACGAUGUGGGAAGGCCCAGACAGCCAGGAUGUUGGCUUAGAAGCAGCCAUCAUUUAAAGAAAGCGUAA